This is a non-coding RNA of Papiliotrema laurentii, 92 nucleotides long. NCBI's taxonomy places the organism in Eukaryota, Fungi, Basidiomycota, Tremellomycetes, Tremellales, Rhynchogastremaceae. The record is from the annotation of a GenBank genome assembly.
GCCCGCUUGGCCCAGUGGUAAGGCGUUGGACUUCUAUGAUUUUGUGAUCGAUAGACAUCCAAAGAUCACGGGUUCGAUCCCCGUAGUGGGUU